Molecule: RNA transcript, 1757 nt
Organism: Chenopodium quinoa (quinoa)
Lineage: Eukaryota; Viridiplantae; Streptophyta; Magnoliopsida; Caryophyllales; Amaranthaceae
Gene name: mitochondrial adenine nucleotide transporter ADNT1-like
Exons: 9
Source: RefSeq, a predicted model, not a curated record
AUUUUCUACUUUGUACCAACAAACGCCGUCACCAACUCACUGCUACCUGAAAUCUCUCACUCUCUUUCUCUCUCUUCCCCAACUUCGUCUCCGAAACUCGAGAUUGAUUCAUAUUAGAGAGAGAAAAUCAGAGGGGAGAGAUCGAAAUUUCCGUCUCUUUCGAACGAAUUCAUUCUUCGAUCAUACCGGAAAUUUCUGCAAUCUCCGAUCUCGAUUUCUAGGGUUCCGGAGAUUCCAUUUUUGUACCUUUUUUUUUUCCGAUUCUUUGAUUUCAAUAUUAUUUUCGGAUUUUAAUGGCGUCGGAAGAUGUGAAGACGAGUGAAGCAGCUGUUUCGACGAUUGUAAACUUGGCGGAAGAAGCGAAGAUUGCUAGAGAAGGUGUUAAGGCUCCUGGUUAUGCUAUUCUUACCAUUUGCAAGUCUCUCGUUGCUGGUGGUGUUGCCGGCGGAGUGUCACGAACUGCUGUUGCUCCCUUAGAACGCCUAAAAAUAUUGCUCCAGGUUCAAAAUCCACAUAGCAUUAAAUACAACGGAACCGUUCAAGGGUUGAAAUAUAUAUGGCAGAGUGAGGGAUUACGAGGAUUGUUCAAGGGUAAUGGAACAAAUUGUGCACGUAUUGUGCCAAAUUCCGCAGUCAAGUUUUUCAGCUAUGAGCAAGCAUCUAAGGGCAUAUUAUGGCUGCAUCGACAACAGAGUGGCAAUGCGGACGCUGAACUCACUCCUUUAUUGCGCCUUGGGGCCGGAGCGACUGCUGGCAUCAUAGCAAUGUCUGCAACUUACCCUAUGGACAUGGUGCGGGGCAGGAUUACUGUACAGACUGAUAAGUCACCUUACCAGUACAGAGGCAUGAUCCAUGCACUGUCCACCAUUCUUCGUGAGGAAGGUCCAAGAGCUUUAUACAAGGGUUGGCUUCCCUCUGUUAUUGGAGUUAUUCCGUAUGUUGGCCUCAAUUUUGCCGUGUAUGAGUCAUUAAAGGAAUGGUUGGUGAAAGCUAGGCCAUUUGGAUUAGUCCAAGAUAGUGAGUUGAGCGUGACAACAAGGCUUGGAUGUGGUGCCGUGGCGGGGACUAUUGGCCAAACCGUUGCUUACCCUCUCGACGUUAUUCGCAGAAGGAUGCAAAUGGUGGGGUGGAACAAUGCUUCAUCUAUAGUCACUGGUGACGGGAGGGGCAAGGUCCCAUUGCAGUAUAAUGGCAUGAUUGAUACAUUUAGAAAGACAGUUAGACAUGAGGGUUUCGGAGCUCUGUACAAAGGCCUGGUCCCUAAUUCAGUAAAGGUUGUGCCAUCUAUAUCAAUAGCAUUUGUGACAUAUGAGGUGGUGAAAGACAUCUUGGGAGUUGAAAUGAGAAUAUCAGACUGAAGUUGCUGAUUCGGGCUCUUAAACUCUGAUAUAUUUUUUCUUCUUUUGGUAGGCAAUUGGAAGAAAUAGAUUUCUAAGAGACAUUUCUGUUGGAUGUUUACGUCUGCUAUACCGUCCCUUGUAUAUUGCAUAGACCAUCUCCUGCUUGAUUUUUUGUGCUUGGAAUUAAGUGCUCCAUGCUGCCUUUGUAAAAUCAAAGAUGCUUUCAAAGUACAAAUUUUCUGUGGCUCUCAUCGGCUGUAUGACGAGACUAUUGUGAUAGUACAAAACUUGUCCUUGACUCCUUGGCCAUGCUCGGAUUUUAUAAUUAAUUGUAGUAAUUGAAAAAUCCUUUCAAUUUAUUUGCUUUGUUCAACAAUUUUGAUGAAUUAAUUUCAUGACUUGUAAUCUUAUCUCUCU